RNAcentral lists this long non-coding RNA (453 nucleotides) under Gallus gallus (chicken). RNAcentral's name for it is "lncRNA (ENSGALG00010001007.1)". Lineage: Eukaryota; Metazoa; Chordata; Aves; Galliformes; Phasianidae. The record is from RNAcentral.
AAUGCUUUCCUUCCACCAAGUUUCCAGUCUGUUUAUUCAUUCUGAGAAGAGAAAUGGAGUCAACACAUGGAAUUGCUUGGAUGGACUGCACUGGAGACCAGAUUUUCAUCCAUUUCGUAUAAUUGCUCUGUGGUCACUUGAGAAGUUUUGUGCAGAAUCAGAGACAAACUUCUGCUUCCCCACCUGAUAAUUUACUUUUGAAUCUGCUGAAGAAAGUUAUGUAAAAUUCUACCAUAUGCUGGGCAAGUGAAGUAGUUUGAGGACAUCCCAAAAGAGAACACUGAAAAACAGCAGAUAAAAAACAAGGCUCUGAGGUUGAACAUACCUCUUUUCUAGUUAUACCCUAUGAAUUUAUCCUUGGUGAUUUGGAAAAAGCAUCAAGUAAACCUACCUGGAAGGCGAACAGUUGGCUGACCUAAACCAAACCACGCUCCUGGAAUGGGAAUAUUGCAG